Molecule: ribosomal RNA, 396 nt
Filed under: uncultured bacterium
Lineage: Bacteria
Description: partial 16S ribosomal RNA
Rfam family: Bacterial small subunit ribosomal RNA
Source: RNAcentral
AUACGUAGGUGACAAGCGUUAUCCGGAUUUACUGGGCGUAAAGGGCGUGUAGGCGGUCUUGCAAGUCAGAAGUGAAAUUCCUGAGCUCAACUCGGGCGCUGCUUCUGAAACUGCAGGACUUGAGUGCUGGAGGGGAUAGCGGAAUUCCUAGUGGAGCGGUAAAAUGCGCAGAUAUUAGGAAGAACACCGGUGGCGAAGGCGGUUAUCUGGACAGUAACGGAGGUUGAGGUGCGAAAGGGUGGGGAACAAACAGGAUUAGAUACCCUGGUAGCCCACGCCGUAAACGAUGAAUACUAGGUGUAGGGGGUAUCGACUCCCUCUGUGCCGCAGUUAACACAAUAAGUAUUCCGCCUGGGGAUUACGGCCGCAAGGUUGAAACUCAAAUGAAUUUACGGG